This 459-nucleotide ribosomal RNA is filed under the name uncultured bacterium. Its description in RNAcentral is "partial 16S ribosomal RNA". It matches the Rfam family "Bacterial small subunit ribosomal RNA", at positions 338 to 795 of the family's 1533-position model. The record is from RNAcentral.
CCUACGGGUGGCAGCAGUGAGGAAUAUUGGUCAAUGGACGAGAGUCUGAACCAGCCAAGUAGCGUGAAGGAUGACUGCCCUAUGGGUUGUAAACCUCUUUUAUAAAGGAAUAAAACGAGGCACGUGUGCCUUUUUGCAUGUACUUUAUGAAUAAGGAUCGGCUAACUCCGUGCCAGCAGCCGCGGUAAUACGGGGGAUCCGAGCGUUAUCCGGAUUUAUUGGGUUUAAAGGGAGCGUAGAUGGGUUGUUAAGUCAGCGGUAAAAAUUCGGGGCUCAACCCCGGCCGGCCGUUGAAACUGGGGGGCUUGAGUGGGCGAGAAGAAGGCGGAAUGCGUGGUGUAGCGGUGAAAUGCAUAGAUAUCACGCAGAACCCCGAGUGCGAAGGCAGCCUUCCGGCGCCCUACUGACGCUGAGGCACGAAAGUGCGGGGAUCGAACAGGAUUAGAUACCCUAGUAGUC